This is a long non-coding RNA of Cyprinus carpio carpio, 1648 nucleotides long. The record is from Ensembl. Lineage: Eukaryota; Metazoa; Chordata; Actinopteri; Cypriniformes; Cyprinidae.
CUGUUUCAGAUAAACAAAACCAUAAUAUCUUUACAGACAUUGUUCAUUAAAACCGUCAUAUCUCAUGCAGGAGUAGCAUGUUUUUGACAGUUUUCUGACGAGUGCAUCUAUGAAUUACGGUCGGUCACCCCCUAGCGUCUCUCUUCCCCGCGAAUUUACGGUGACAAGGGUCGGAGCGACCCUUGCUCAGCUUCCCACCUAUUGAACAAGUUCAUUCAUAGAACAAGGAUGACACCCAGCGGUCACUCAACACCGAUUUCCUUCACGGACACCUUUAUAAAUUUGACGCGUUCAAACGAUCACUUGAACCAGAAAACUUUCUCGGACGGCUCUCCAAGACAAUGGAUAAAAGUGAGUAUUUUAUCAUGUCAUGUUAUCUGAUGGUAGUGAUAUUUAAAUACUAUUAAUUGAUCAAAGUAUGUUAUGCUAUUUUUACAGUCUACGAUGUUAUAGCGUUUUUUUAAACCAUAUUACAUUUCAUUCCUGUAAUUUUCUUCAAGUUAUGCUGUUUUAUUUCAACUGCUGAUAGAGAUAUUUUAACACUAUAUUCAUAAAGUAUGUGUUAUUUGAAUUAAUAUCGACGCAUCUAUCGUCCCAAUCACCGCCAGACUGUUUGUAUGAAAAACACACUUUUAUUUUGAAAAGACGGCGACAUCCUGUUGAAAAUACUUUCAUUUUGAAAAUAUGACGACAUCCUGUUGAAAAUACUUUUAUUUUGAAAAGACGAGGAUAUCCUGUUGAAAAUACUUUUAUUUUGAAAAGACGAGGAUAUCCUGUCGCUUAGCUUUUGUGCUUCAGUUCAGUUCGCUAUGUAUAGGAUUUCAGAAAACCAAUUCUGUGUCCAUUAAAUCGACGUUUUACCACCGCGUUAUCCGUUCGUCAUCUAUGAACACGAUUUUCCCGGUUGCUAACUGCUCUCGGUGAAACGGAUAUGAUGGUGAAAUGGCUCCCUCCGGUUCAAAUAUUGAGCAGCAAGCCUUUGACGGUAUUAAUACAUCGCUCGUGAUUGAUCCAGACAGCGCAGCCGCUGGUAAAACAAGAUCCAUCUCCAACAUUUUUUAUGAGAAAUCAAAAUUUUAGAGAGACUCUAUUUUAAAUGGUAAUAUAUGCCAUGAUAGUAACAUAUUACCGAAACAAAUAAUUUAUCAUACAUUUAAACAUGUAUUCAACACUUAUUUAUUAAGCUCAUUGAUCUUAUAAAACACUAUUCACUUAUUUUAAAGAAGUUAAUUAAUAUAUUGUAAUUACAUAUAUAACACACUGUAUUAAAUAAACAUUUAAUAUAGUUUUAGGUCAUAAUAAAUACGGCUUACAUUUUUCUGUGCAUAAUGAUGUCCAUUCCGUGAAUGAAAUGUUUCCAAUAAAACGCAUUUAGUAUAAGUUGAAAUAUUAACAAAACGUCCCAGAUCGUCCCAGGGUUAAACACCAGUGUGAAAUGAAUGUUUCAGACCCACUCAGAGGAGGGGGUAGUUACAGACCAGAAGAUCUGAGGUGUUAUUCUGUUAACCUUUUUUCAAACCGCAUGUUAUGGCUGUAUUAAUAAUGAAUUCAAAGUCUAAUCUUAAGACUUUAAAUAAACAUUUUUUUUUUCCUUACAUUUCCUGUGGUUUUUUGCUUACAUUUCAACUAAAGUAUAAUUUAUUCCACA